RNAcentral lists this ribosomal RNA (497 nucleotides) under uncultured bacterium. RNAcentral describes it as "partial 16S ribosomal RNA". It matches the Rfam family "Bacterial small subunit ribosomal RNA", at positions 28 to 507 of the family's 1533-position model. The record is from RNAcentral.
GAUGAACGCUGGCGGCGUGCCUAAUACAUGCAAGUCGAGCGAACAGACGAGGAGCUUGCUCCUCUGACGUUAGCGGCGGACGGGUGAGUAACACGUGGAUAACCUACCUAUAAGACUGGGAUAACUUCGGGAAACCGGAGCUAAUACCGGAUAAUAUAUUGAACCGCAUGGUUCAAUAGUGAAAGACGGUUUUGCUGUCACUUAUAGAUGGAUCCGCGCCGCAUUAGCUAGUUGGUAAGGUAACGGCGUACCAAGGCAACGAUGCGUAGCCGACCUGAGAGGGUGAUCGGCCACACUGGAACGGAGACACGGUCCAGACGCCUACGGGAGGCAGCAGUAGGGAAUCUUCCGCAAUGGGCGAAAGCCUGACGGAGCAACGCCGCGUGAGUGAUGAAGGUCUUCGGAUCGUAAAACUCUGUUAUUAGGGAAGAACAAAUGUGUAAGUAACUAUGCACGUCUUGACGGUACCUAAUCAGAAAGCCACGGCUAACUACGUG